CUACCGCCAUUCUUCUCCACUUAUCUUUUUCACAUAAGCUUUCGAUAACGAUGUUUCUUCAUGUCCUCUUCAUUUGUCACUCACCACCACACCACCUGAAGCUUGGUGCAACUGUGGUACUGUGAUGUCGUGUGCUGGAAAACGACCGUCACUUUCUCUUAUUCAUCACUCUUAUGAGAACAUUGUUGGUAGUCCUUUCCUAUUUAAUCGAAUUUCAUAUUCCCUAUUCUAAUUUUGGAGAAACCUGAUCUAUGAAAAAGAAACUAAUUUUCUCCUUAUUAGAUACAUUUUUUGUACAAAUUUAGCAGCUUUGAAGAUGCACACCAACUACUCGAUGAAAUGACUGAAAGAAUCUGUAAGCUUAUUUUUUUUUUCAUAUCACUGCAACUUUAAUUGUCACCUGUUUUCAAAGUUGUCGAUGUAAAACCUCCAUGGAUGAGGACCAUGAGUGAUCUCUGCACUAGCUAAGGGGUUAUUAGAACCAAAUGGAAUGUAAAACUUAAGAUUGGCAUUUUUUCCUUUUUCUUAACAUUUUAUUGGGGUUAUGUUCUAUGGUUUAGCCAUGGUCGCAUUUGGUAUAUUAUCCAUGUGGCAACAACUUCUAAUCAAUAAAGUUGUAGGAUAUGAUAUAAUUUUCAUGAAGAAUGUACUGAAUUCUCCAGGCUACUUGUAUAAUUACCAGGCACAAGCCUUCUACAAUCUUACAUAUGUACAACAACAAGAAAGGUCACAAAGGUUUGGAGACUUUUGAAUGAAAAGAGAAACCUCUUCAAGAGUACCUUCAAUGGGCUGAAAUUCUUGAAAAGGAGAUUGUCAAACAUGAUAGAGCCAUGUAUGUAGGGGUAGAAUCGGUAAUUUGACAGCAAGAGGAGGAUUUUUUUUAAAUAAAGCAAGACCUUCCCUGAGUCGCCUAUAGUAAGGAGUUUCUUUUCCAACAGGUAUAAUAUAUGCUGGGUGUGGCAAUUUUUUAGUUUGGAUGUAUAGACAACAAUUAAGACUCUUAAUAGAAUACCGAUAAAAAAUGAAAUCUAU
Non-coding RNA from Lactuca sativa (garden lettuce), 1032 nucleotides. The record is from RefSeq and is a predicted model, not a curated record. Lineage: Eukaryota; Viridiplantae; Streptophyta; Magnoliopsida; Asterales; Asteraceae.